This 460-nucleotide ribosomal RNA is filed under the name uncultured bacterium. Its description in RNAcentral is "partial 16S ribosomal RNA". It matches the Rfam family "Bacterial small subunit ribosomal RNA", at positions 338 to 795 of the family's 1533-position model. The record is from RNAcentral.
CCUACGGGAGGCAGCAGUGAGGAAUAUUGGUCAAUGGGCGAGAGCCUGAACCAGCCAAGUCGCGUGAGGGAAGACGGUCCUAUGGAUUGUAAACCUCUUUUGUCGGGGAGCAAAAAGGCCUCGUGAGGCCACAAGUGAGAGUACCCUAAGUAAAAGCAUCGGCUAACUCCGUGCCAGCAGUCGCGGUAAUACGGAGGAUGCGAGCGUUAUCCGGAUUUAUGGGGUGUAAAGGUUGCGUAGGCGGAAUGCCAAGUCAGCGGUAAAAUCGCGGGGCUCAACCUCGCUCCGCCGUUGAGACUGGCGUUCUUGAGUGGGCGAGAGGUGUGUGGAAUUCGUGGUGUAGCGGUGAAAUGCAUAGAUAUCACGAAGAACACCGAUUGCGAAGGCAGCAUACCGGCGCCCAACUGACGCUGAAGCACGAAAGCGUGGGUAUCGAACAGGAUUAGAUACCCCUGUAGUC